ACACGUGCACUUUCAAACCGGCCCAGCUGCGGCACGGCCGCCCUCGUGCGGUCUGGUAACCCUAAUCGUUCCUUGACCGCCCCCUCGUCGGGCGUUCAACCGCGAGGCCGGGAUUUCUACAGGGGUCUUCCCCGGCAGUGGCCAAGCAAACCCCGAAACGGGCCGGUUGCAGGGGCACCACAGACUGACUCGAGGGGUAGCGGAGCGUGGCGCAUCGCCGGUGCGGCGCAGGCGCCACGAGUGGUUCGUCCACGCCCUCUGCUCGUGCCGGAGCAGUCUACAGGGGUGCAAUUUCGUUCUUUUUUU
This 306-nucleotide non-coding RNA is filed under the name Prototheca wickerhamii. The record is from RNAcentral. Lineage: Eukaryota; Viridiplantae; Chlorophyta; Trebouxiophyceae; Chlorellales; Chlorellaceae.